Molecule: ribosomal RNA, 616 nt
Filed under: Enterococcus faecalis
Lineage: Bacteria; Bacillati; Bacillota; Bacilli; Lactobacillales; Enterococcaceae
Description: bacterial SSU rRNA
Rfam family: Bacterial small subunit ribosomal RNA
Source: RNAcentral
GUCGAACGCUUCUUUCCUCCCGAGUGCUUGCACUCAAUUGGAAAGAGGAGUGGCGGACGGGUGAGUAACACGUGGGUAACCUACCCAUCAGAGGGGGAUAACACUUGGAAACAGGUGCUAAUACCGCAUAACAGUUUAUGCCGCAUGGCAUAAGAGUGAAAGGCGCUUUCGGGUGUCGCUGAUGGAUGGACCCGCGGUGCAUUAGCUAGUUGGUGAGGUAACGGCUCACCAAGGCCACGAUGCAUAGCCGACCUGAGAGGGUGAUCGGCCACACUGGGACUGAGACACGGCCCAGACUCCUACGGGAGGCAGCAGUAGGGAAUCUUCGGCAAUGGACGAAAGUCUGACCGAGCAACGCCGCGUGAGUGAAGAAGGUUUUCGGAUCGUAAAACUCUGUUGUUAGAGAAGAACAAGGACGUUAGUAACUGAACGUCCCCUGACGGUAUCUAACCAGAAAGCCACGGCUAACUACGUGCCAGCAGCCGCGGUAAUACGUAGGUGGCAAGCGUUGUCCGGAUUUAUUGGGCGUAAAGCGAGCGCAGGCGGUUUCUUAAGUCUGAUGUGAAAGCCCCCGGCUCAACCGGGGAGGGUCAUUGGAAACUGGGAGACUUGAGUG